CAGCGCCACAAGUAGCAAUCACGUUUAUUGGGCCUAAAGCGUCCGUAGCCGGUUUAGCAAAUCUUUUGUGAAAUCGUCAGGCUUAACUUGACGAAUUGCAGAAGACACUACUAAACUAGGGACUGGGAGGAGUCAGAAGUAUUCUGGGGGGACCGGUAAAAUGGUAUAAUCCCCAGAGGACUACCGAUGGCGAAGGCAUCUGACCAGAACAGAUCCGACGGUGAGGGACGAAAGCCAGGGGAGCAAACCGGAUUAGAUACCCGCGUAGUCC
RNAcentral lists this ribosomal RNA (271 nucleotides) under uncultured archaeon. Its description in RNAcentral is "partial 16S ribosomal RNA". It matches the Rfam family "Archaeal small subunit ribosomal RNA", at positions 477 to 747 of the family's 1478-position model. The record is from RNAcentral.